CCACUUCGGUGGGGAUUAGUGGCGAACGGGUGAGUAACACGUGGGCAAUCUGCCCUGCACUCUGGGACAAGCCCUGGAAACGGGGUCUAAUACCGGAUAAUACUCCCGUGCUCAUGUGCGGGUGUUGAAAGCUCCGGCGGUGCAGGAUGAGCCCGCGGCCUAUCAGCUUGUUGGUGAGGUAAUGGCUCACCAAGGCGACGACGGGUAGCCGGCCUGAGAGGGCGACCGGCCACACUGGGACUGAGACACGGCCCAGACUCCUACGGGAGGCAGCAGUGGGGAAUAUUGCACAAUGGGCGGAAGCCUGAUGCAGCGACGCCGCGUGAGGGAUGACGGCCUUCGGGUUGUAAACCUCUUUCAGCAGGGAAGAAGCGCAAGUGACGGUACCUGCAGAAGAAGCGCCGGCUAACUACGUGCCAGCAGCCGCGGUAAUACGUAGGGCGCAAGCGUUGUCCGGAAUUAUUGGGCGUAAAGAGCUCGUAGGCGGCUUGUCACGUCGGGUGUGAAAGCCCGGGGCUUAACCCCGGGUCUGCAUUCGAUACGGGCUAGCUAGAGUGUGGUAGGGGAGAUCGGAAUUCCUGGUGUAGCGGUGAAAUGCGCAGAUAUCAGGAGGAACACCGGUGGCGAAGGCGGAUCUCUGGGCCAUUACUGACGCUGAGGAGCGAAAGCGUGGGGAGCGAACAGGAUUAGAUACCCUGGUAGUCCACGCCGUAAACGGUGGGAACUAGGUGUUG
This 734-nucleotide ribosomal RNA is filed under the name Streptomyces sp. RNAcentral's name for it is "bacterial SSU rRNA". It matches the Rfam family "Bacterial small subunit ribosomal RNA", at positions 75 to 825 of the family's 1533-position model. Lineage: Bacteria; Bacillati; Actinomycetota; Actinomycetes; Kitasatosporales; Streptomycetaceae. The record is from RNAcentral.